Oncorhynchus keta (chum salmon) is the source of this 3093-nucleotide long non-coding RNA. RefSeq lists it as uncharacterized. The record is from RefSeq and is a predicted model, not a curated record. Lineage: Eukaryota; Metazoa; Chordata; Actinopteri; Salmoniformes; Salmonidae. The transcript is spliced from 3 exons.
GUCAAGGGGUGUGAACACUUUCUGAAGGCACUAAGAAACAAAGUGGAAAGCAGCAUCGUUCUUGUUUGGAACAAUGUGUUGACUUGCAUGACCUAACAGAACAGCACGCAAACGUAUAAUAAAUCUAACAGCGGGGACGAGGAACUGCGCUGCUCGAGUGACGGAGCGAGGCUUUUUGUGCGUGAGAAAGCCUUGAGAGGAGAGCGGGAGAGACGACAAAAACAGAGGCAACUAUGGCGUUUUAAAAUAUUGCAAGAUGGAUAUCGAUGUGGAUAUUGCACGUAACUGUUAAGAUUUCUAUGUGAAUUAGAUUAAUUGUGUAUUCCUAAUGCACGCGCGCACGCGCACACACACACACACACACACACACACACACACACACACACACACACACACACACACACACACACACACACACACACACACACACACACACACACACACACACACACACACCUGAGGUAGGGGGGCGCAGGGGGUACGUCCCCAUCUACCCCCUCAGAGCAAAACAUAUUCAUCAUUUAAGCGAUGUCAGAAUGGUGUUAAUAAGGUGAUGUUCCUUCACACACACAAUUUUAAUUGUGUUUUUGUAGGGCAAAGGGAGCACUGUGGAUCAAAGGGCUCCCUAAUGUAGGCCUUAUACAAAAUCAGCAACACCCUCACACCACGUCCCAUGAUAAUUCCCCUCCGUAUCCAGCUGCUCUCUUUGUGUGUGUGUGAGAGAGAUGGAAGGACCUAUCAAUUAAUUCAGUACACUGUUACUAUACGCAUAUAAUCUAAAAUAAGUGAACACACUGGAUCUACUACGAUGAAAUAUGUACUCUAUUUGUCUCUCUCGCAUCGAUUCCAUUUAACCUAAUUGGACUUAAACCAAUCAUUUUGAACAGCAUAAAUAUAUCGCUCUCUUAAACAUUGUGAAUAAAUACUAUGUCGACACCCAUCUAUAAUUCAUUCUGCCUGUAUAAUAUGUCUACACCUAGAUCGUAUCUUAGUAUUGUGUAGUGUGCUAAAGCAUUUACAGAUGUAGGAUCUUAUUUGAUCACCAUGUUGUUGUGGGAAUUUUCCUGCACAGCAAAAAAAAUGCUAGUAUAGUAUAUUCAAGGGUUAAAAAGGGUUAAACAGGCUUCUAAAGUUUGUCAUUUCCACUUUAAAAUUGCAGACUUGAUUUGCCCUAACUAAAAAUGUAUCAUCAAUCCCUUCAAAAAUGUCAAAUAAUUAUAAUCCAAUAAUUCACAUUUCCUGUUGCUGCAUGAUUAUUUUCCUGCUGGUCAAAUUAAGACCCUACAUCUGUAUCAUGUAUUAGUUUGAGUUCUCGAUGGUGGUAACUGUGCAUAUAGCGUUAUAAGGCUCCGUUAUACAUGGAGGCUACAUACUAGUUUCUGAAAUCUAGGUCUAUGUGGUCAUCCGCACUGGUGGCAGUGGAGUCAGCGCUUUAGUCUCGCUCUCUCGUUCCUAAAUUAAACAUGGGAAACACUUAAAGAUUCCAUGUGAUUUAUGGACCCAUUUCAUUUUCAUUUCCAGACUUCAUAAAAUAGUCGGACAUCCUGCAUUUUUUAUUGUUAUGACAGGUUUUGUCAAGUGCGGGAAGGGAGAUCUGAGAAGGUUGAGGGCUGUGUGUGUGUAUGUGUGUGUGUGUGAGAGAGAGAGAGAUUGAUCUCUCCCCUGGACUUGGUGAUCCCCUUAACCCCAAUAAGCACAAAUAAGAUUUAGAUGUGGAUAUCCAUCCCCAUGAGGUCACCAAUUGUAGUAGUAGUAGUAGUAGUAGUAGUAGUAUACCAUAGCAGUAUUCUACAUAUACAGUAUAAUCUCUAGGAGUAGUGUACAACCUAACUUAAAAAACCAAUCUGCAAUUGGACAGAUAAUGACAGCAGCCCAUGGUAAAUUGAUUAAAUCCAGAGCAAUGUCACGAGAUAAAGGUAAUUUAUGGUUCAGAGUAAGGUUUGUUUUCAAAGCGUUGCGUUGACUUGAAAAGCAAGAGUAUUUUAAAAAAAUGUUUAAAAGGGCUAAUGACACAGGGUGAAGGUGAGAAUGGACAGACACAGGGUAAAGGUGAGAAUGGACAGACACAGGGUGAAGGUGAGAAUGGACUGACACAGGGUGAAGGUGAGAAUGGACUGACACAGGGUGAAGGUGAGAAUGGACUGACACAGAGUGAAGGUGAGAAUGGACAGACACAGGGUGAAGGUGAGAAUGGACAGACACAGGGUGAAGGUGAGAAUGGACAGACACAGGGUGAAGGUGAGAAUGGACAGACACAGGGUGAAGGUGAGAAUGGACAGACACAGGGUGAAGGUGAGAAUGGACAGACACAGGGUGAAGGUGAGAAUGGACAGACACAGGGUGAAGGUGAGAAUGGACAGACACAGGGUGAAGGUGAGAAUGGACAGACACAGGGUGAAGGUGAGAAUGGACAGACACAGAGUGAAGGUGAGAAUGGACAGACACAGAGUGAAGGUGAGAAUGGACAGACACAGGGUGAAGGUGAGAAUGGACAGACACAGGGUGAAGGUGAGAAUGGACAGACACAGGGUGAAGGUGAGAAUGGACAGACACAGGGUGAAGGUGAGAAUGGACAGACACAGGGUGAAGGUGAGAAUGGACAGACACAGGGUGAAGGUGAGAAUGGACAGACACAGAGUGAAGGUGAGAAUGGACAGACACAGGGUGAAGGUGAGAAUGGACAGACAAAUUCUUUGAAAAUGGGUAAAUGCAACAUGUAAUAUACAUAAUUAAACAGGUUUGGUACACCUGCCUCUAACCACUAGGCUACCUGCCUCUAACCACUAGGCUACCUGCCUCUAACCACUAGGCUACCUGCCUCUAACCACUAGGCUACCUGCCUCUAAGCACUAGGCUACCUGCCUCUAUCCACUAGGCUACCUGCCUCUAACCACUAGGCUACCUGUCUCUAACCACUAGGGUACCUGCCUCUAACCACUAGGGUACCUGCCUCUAACCACUAGGGUACCUGCCUCUAACCACUAGGGUACCUGCCUCUAACCACUAGGGUACCUGCCUCUAACCACUAGGGUACCCGCCUCUAACCACUAGGGUACCUGCAAUCUAAUAAUCUAACAGUCUAACAGUCUACAA